This is a non-coding RNA of Peromyscus maniculatus bairdii (prairie deer mouse), 5414 nucleotides long. The record is from RefSeq and is a predicted model, not a curated record. NCBI's taxonomy places the organism in Eukaryota, Metazoa, Chordata, Mammalia, Rodentia, Cricetidae.
AAGUGCUCUGGGAGCUCAGAGCAGCGGGCCAUUCAUUCUUCCGCUGCUGGAAGAGUUCGGGAAAAUGCACAGGGAGGGGCUGUUUUGGCUAGGUUUGGUGGGCUUUGAGGUAGGAGGUGGAGGGAAGGACGCACCAUGCAGAGAGGAGCCUGUGCAGAGACCGGGUGAAGGAGAAAACCUUGAUGUGGUGUAGCAGAUGGGGAGGCAGGAGGAUCGCCGGACAGCAAGCUGCAGGCCAGAAUCAGAAAGGCCAUGAAUGAUCGUACUAGAGUGCCUGGACCUAGUCCAGCCGUGGGCAAAAGGGGAGCCAUUGAAGAAUUUUAAGCAGGGGCUGCGUUCCCCUGGGGAGGAGGGCUGCUUCCUCCAUUCUCUCUGGUCAGCCAAGGGCUUCUGCAUUCACGAAGCUGAACCUACAGGGUCUGAGUGAACGGCUCCAACAGUUCUGACUCCUUCUGCGAGCCUGUGCUAGCGACGUCUCCCUACUCCAUCCACAAGCCCCAUGGAGUGGGAGCCCCCCCCUCCCCUAGGCCAAUCUCCCCUCCCAUUGGAAGGAUGUGAGAACCACACACAUGGCUUUCCCUUUAGAGAGGACAUGAUUCCUUGGAAGCCUGGUUGUUCCUGGAAGCCCAAGCAAAUCCUCUCCUGGGAGGAAACCAUCAGAGUUCAUUUGGAAGCCAGAUAAAGAGGCAGACAGUGAGACAGACAGCAAGAGACAGACGAGAGACAGGCAGAAAAUGGAUUUUGAAGUGCCGUUGAGCCAAUGAUUGUGGUCAAAUCCUGUUGAGAGACAAGAUAUCUGUGUAUCUGGUAAAGUGAUCUAGGGCUAACUUUCCCCAGUUCCCUCGGCCCACCAGCCCUUUCUCCUUGCCCCUGUCCUUCCCUAAGCUGUCUCCCAGACUAGCAUCCUACCCCCAUCCCACCCCAUCCUGCCUCAGGGCAUUCAUCACUUGGACUAGUGAUUUAUCAAAGGCCCUGACAGUCCCUGUUUGGCAAAAAUCGAUCUGUGAAGAAUGGGACCAACCCAAGGCCCCCUCUUCUUCCAAACCCCCACCAUCAAUCUGCCCCAAAGGAGCCCCUCAGCUCAGCAUCAGCGGUGCCCCAGGCUGGGGCGGGUCUCUGUAUUCUUUGCUGUUCUUAAGAAGGAAAAGGAGGGAGAAAGAGCUAAGAAGAAAGGGAGAGAGAGAGGGAGGAAAGGGAGAGGGAGAGAGAGGUGGGGGAGAGAGAGGAGAUUAGUGCCUUCUCCCAGAUGUUUAUUUUGUUGUUUUUAAGUGAGAAAGUCCCAGCUCUAUUAAAUGCAAUCAAUACUUGGCCCAAGAGAAGCUUCCCUUCUCUAAGACAUUUGAAAUCUGGUCAAAUCAUUUUGCCCUGAUACAAAGUAAUUUAUCAAUUUCAAAACCCUUCUAAUCAGUGGAGGCUGUGGAGUCUCCAUUCCUGCCUGCCUGCUUUUGCUGUAACACACACACACACACACACACACACACACACACACACACACACACACACACACACACCUCUUUCUAUCCUUCCUCUCCUCCCUCCCUUCCCUCUCCCAGCAAUGGCAGAUUGACCUCUCAGCGCUCAGGACAGCCUCCAGGCCAGGUAUCAUCCUUGCAUCUCUAGCCCAGUCUGGAUGCUCCUCACCCGGCAGGUCUUACACUCAGCCCUGGGGCACGGGAAUGGCUGAAACUACAGCCACAGGGACAAACACUUUCUUCUUCUUCUCCUAGUGGCUAUCAGCUGGGGAUAGCAAUGUCUUGUUCUUAGACAGAGCCCAGAACUGGGGCCAAGACGCUAGAUGGGACCUUUGGGCCACCAAGCUUGUCCCUUAGGACCUUGGCGCAUGUUUCCAAGGGACAAGGGAGACCGACUGGCUGGAGAGGGGUUGAUGAAUCUGGCUGAAUCUGGGGAUGAUGUCACAAUACUUUCCUGCCUGCAAAACUGCUAUUUUGGCCCUCGAGACAGGUUGUGUCUGAAGGGAAAUUGUGACAGCAGCAAAAUCACCUUGCGACUCACCCUCCCCUUCCCAGAAGAGUGGCUUCAGCCUUUGCAACACCAUUAGAUUGGAUUCUCGGCAGGUCCUUUGUGACCGCCAGCUGUGGUAGCCAGAUAGGCCUCUGACCUGUGGGGAGAGGCCACCCACUAAAGAGCUGAUUCAAGUGGUCUCACAAUUGUCCCUGCGUCCCCUGGCCUCAGAGGUGACUGAGCGAAGCGACUCAGCUGGCCAGAAGUCACCACAAGGUAACUCACAAGCAUACGAGCUCUCAGAGACCUUUACUCACAGGACGGUAAAUCUAGAAGCCUGACUUUGGCCUUCUCGCUCCUCUGCCAGACCUAACCUGAAAUCUCUAGUAGACCUUCCAUACCUCGAGUUUGGAAGACACCCUGUAAACAUGUAUGCAAUUAUUGAAUGGAGGGAGAUCUCCACGGAGCUCGGCCCUUUGCUCUGUGCCUUCUCUUCCAUAGCUAUCAUUGGUCAUCUAGGAACAGAACUUCGGGGCCCUCGCAGCUCCUUGCCCAGAGCUCUCUUCCAAGUAAUGUUAAACUAGAGUGAAUACAGCGUCCUACGGUUUAUGAGGUGUUUUAAUAUUAACUGUCUAAUUUAAUUCUACAAUAAUGCUGGGGGAUACGUAUUAUCCUAUUUUAUAGCAAGAGAAUUCAAGGUUCACAGAGGUGAAGUCACUUGUCCCAAGUCACGCACAGAGCAAAUAACAAACCCAGGCAAUCUAACCAAGUUCUCUCAACUCAGACCCUAAAUCUUUUCACUGUUGUUACUCAUUAUAUAGGCAUUAAGCAUCUUCUUCAUGGCAAACUCUCCGUUUUCUUCAUGGCAACUUAAAACCGGAUGAUAUUACACUCCUGCAUGCUUUCUUUCUGUAGGUUUUUUUUUUUUUUUGGUUGGUUGCUUGUUUUUGAGACUGAGUCUCACCCCGUCCGUCGCCCAGGCAAGCCUGAAACUCUUUGCACCCUCCCUGCCUUGACCUGCUAAGUGCUGGGAUGACAAGUGUGAGUCUUGGUGUUCCACUUGACAUGUUUUUUUUCCUAUAGAUUGGGAACUAGAGGUGCAAUAAUUGGCUAAAGAUAGCACAGUAAAUAAGAGAUGGAGGUAGAUUUAACCUAGGUCUCUCGAUCUCAAAUCCUAGGUCUUUCCCAUUACAACAUAAAACCUUUAACAGUGAUGUUCAGAAAGGGCCUGAUAAAUGCCAAGCCCUUUUCCAUUUAAUCUUUGUAAAAUUCACUUCCUUCUUCGAAAUGAAGAAAUCAAAACUUUGAAAAGUUGCCUGUCUGAUACAUGACUGGGAUUUGAACUCCUGUCUCUGGGUGCAGAAUAGCAGCUUGGCUGUUCUAACUUACUGAUCUAGCAACCAGUUUAUCAACUGGGUGUCUUGCCAGUGUUCAGGCAGGGCUCAUGGCACAGCAGGAAGAGGAGCUGUCAAGGAUGGGCUUCCAGAGCAUGGCUGGCCCCUGGUCCACACUGUCCCUGCCAAGCCCUCUGUAUCUGAUCAUUACUGCUCCACUUUCUGAUCAGUCACUCAUGCCAAGGCCUGGGCACAUAACUCUAUGGGAUCCUCAUAUAAUCCCAUGACAAUAUCUUCCCCAUUUGAAGGAUAUGGAGACCAGAGCUCAGAGAGAUCAGCAAGUUGUCCCUGGACACAGCGUAUCAAAGAACUAUCAGAGUAAAGGCCCUGCUGUUUUCCUGGGUCCUCAGACCACCUCCAGUCCCAUUAUGCAUGCGUGUGUGCGUGCGUGCGUGCGUGCGUGCGUGCGUGCACACCCGUGUGCAUCAUCUUCCAGGUUGUUUAGGAAGAGAACUGUCACUAAGGAACACUGCAGUUGCCAGAGGACCCCAAUACUUCGCAUAGACAUGUAAAUCCAAGGUAAACUGCUGGGAGACAAUUUGAACUGGUAGUCACUGAAGAAGUAGAUGGGACAGCAGCUGACUUAGGGAAUACCCCAGGGCUAGGAGCCUUCAUUUCCAUUCCUGUCCAGCUAAAGACUUCCCACCCUUCCUCUGGAAAUCAACACCCCCCACCCCCACUACCAAAGAAUAGCUGUAGCACCAUUUGGCUCAGGACUUACCCUGAUUGCUUCCCACAUUGAUGGAUGAAUGUGGUUCUACAAAUUGGAAAAAUAACUAAUGUGCAGCUCCCAGACCCUGCUGCCUAUGGGUGGAGGGGGCUCUUCUGGAUUAACCCAAGACCUGGGAGGAAUCAGUCCACUGCAUACCAACCCAAAGAGGCAGCGGGAGAGGCUCGCAGCCUGGUGGGGGUGGAUUUCGAUUUCCUACAGGGUUUCUCUGUGUCACCUCUCAUCACCAUAAUAUUUACAUCAAAUGCAAAAGGCCUCCUUGGAAUAGAACCCUGAGGUUGUAAAUGCCAAAUCUAAGAAUGUCAGCAAAUGCAAAAGAUCAGGUUCCUUGAGCAGCAGCCUCCCCCUCCUCCGGGCGAUGCCUGCUGCAACCCUGAGGGCAGGCAAAGCAGGCUCCGGAGCUUCCCCGAACCUCACCCCAAAUCUGGAAAGGCUGGGGGACACCCAGGGGGGCCCAAGGGCCCUCAUCUCUGAUUCAGCAACACCCAGUAACUUCAUCCCAUCCACCUGACUUCAUGAAAUGUCUGAGGAAGUGUGUCCACAUACAUUCUCCAUUCAGCAAGGGAGGCCAGGCUACCUCAUGGACAGACAGACAGCCUGGCUGCCCAGUGAUCAGGCUGCAGCGUACUCCACGGCCCAUUGGCUGAGUUCUCUCCAUACCCUGUUCCUCACCCCCAUCUUCAUGUCACUCUUGAGGCCCCUGAAGCGUCUCAGAGACCACUCACUUAUCAAACAUUUAUUGAACACUUAUUAAGCACCAAGCCCUGGGAAUACCAUGGUGAACAAACAAGGUUUCUUCCCCGAAGGAACUUCGGUUCUAGCUACAAGACAGCCGAUGAUUAAGGUGAGGAAUAAAUAAUUUUAAUUGCUGUGAAGAAAAUAAAUUGGGGCGGAAGGAGGGAGAGGCCACUGGUGCCGCGUCGGUAGGGAAAGGCCUCUCUGAGGAGGUGGCAUUUGACCUGAAAAAUGAGAAGCUGCCCCACGGAGAUUUGCAGGAAAAGUGAGCAAAGCAGCAGUGUAGUGAGGGCAAGGGCCUUGAGAAGAGAGGAGCAUGUGUGCUGAGGCUCCGAAAAGAGGCCACCAGCCAUGUGGAGCGGGCGAUAGAGCAGGAGGGGCUGAGGUUAGGGCUGCGCGGACUUGCUGAGCUUGGAAAGGAAAACGGAUUCUUCUUAACGGCACCGGCAAGCUGUGGGAGCGCUAUAAGCAGGGAAUGGUGCUAUUUGACUUCCAUUUAAAUUUUUGCUAAGAUUUAAAAACAAAACAAGCCGGGCAGUGGUGGCACACGCCUUUAAUCCCAGCCCUUGGAAGGCAGAGGCAGGCGGAUCUCU